GUAGUAUUCCCUCCGUCCCAAAAUUCUUGUCUUACAUUUGAUCAUACGGAUGUAUCUAACACUAAAAUGUAACUAGAUACAUCCAUAUUUAGAAAAAUUUAAGACAAGAAUUUUUGGACGGAGGGAGUACAAA
Triticum aestivum (bread wheat) is the source of this 133-nucleotide non-coding RNA. The record is from Rfam. NCBI's taxonomy places the organism in Eukaryota, Viridiplantae, Streptophyta, Magnoliopsida, Poales, Poaceae.